RNAcentral lists this unclassified non-coding RNA (202 nucleotides) under Hevea brasiliensis (rubber tree). The record is from RNAcentral. Lineage: Eukaryota; Viridiplantae; Streptophyta; Magnoliopsida; Malpighiales; Euphorbiaceae.
GCUAAACCUGCCUUGGCUAGAUGCAUGGUGAGCCAAAUUAUUAGCUGCCCGAGGUAGAAUAUUAUCUAAAUCACUGGUAAGGAAUAAAACAUCAGCAGAACAUAAAUCAUGCAGUGGAGAGAGGAUUGUUCCAUGCGUUAGAGCAUGUACAGCAUUCAGACUAUCAGUUUCAGUUUGAAAGGAGGUAAACCCAGCAUCUUUG